This 253-nucleotide ribosomal RNA is filed under the name uncultured bacterium. Its description in RNAcentral is "partial 16S ribosomal RNA". It matches the Rfam family "Bacterial small subunit ribosomal RNA", at positions 524 to 776 of the family's 1533-position model. The record is from RNAcentral.
UACGGAGGGUGCGAGCGUUGUCCGGAAUCACUGGGCGUAAAGGGCGCGUAGGCGGCCUGAUAAGUAGGGGGUGAAAUCCUGCGGCUUAACCGCAGGGCUGCCUUCUAAACUGUCAGGCUUGAGCACAGUAGAGGCAGGUGGAAUUCCCGGUGUAGCGGUGGAAUGCGUAGAGAUCAGGAAGAACACCAAUGGCGAAAGCAGCUCUCUGGGACGGUACUGACGCUGAGACGCGAAAGCGUGGGGAGCGAACAGG